This is a long non-coding RNA of Pezoporus flaviventris, 1429 nucleotides long. RefSeq lists it as uncharacterized. The transcript has 3 exons. Lineage: Eukaryota; Metazoa; Chordata; Aves; Psittaciformes; Psittacidae. The record is from RefSeq and is a predicted model, not a curated record.
CUCAUUUGUUUUCUCCUACAUAGCUCUGAUAGAAGAGAAACGAAUUGGAAUUGGGCAUCUCGUUAACCAUUUGCUUUCCCCCUUGCUGCUCGGGGAAGGACAUGGUGAGCCGGAGCAGAACCUCAGGGGCACAGAGGGAGCAAUCACACUGAAAUAGAGCCUCAUGGUGCAGGACUUCUCACGGAAGGAAGGAGGGGCUGACACCACUGGCCUGCAGCAGCAGGGGACAUGGCAAGAGGCAGAGAAAGCAGCUCCAUGAGGCUGGAGGGGGAUUGGUACCCACCGCCCCAGAGCCCAGGCGCGGAUCUCCGGAUGUCUGCGAGAUCAUAAAUCAUGUUCCGAGCCCGGCGCAGCCUCCUGCUCUCUGCUCCAUCGAUCCACUGCCGCCGCGCACCCCGCAGGAGGAUGCAGGAUGCUGCGGCGCCGGCCCGGCCCGGAGCAGGAGCUGCUCCUGGAUGCCCUCGGGGUGUUCCACUUUGCGAGGCAAUAGUUUGUUGGUUUAGGAAAGACAUUCGCUGGGUUUGCCGCGUUGUUUGUUCUGUCGCUGGCUUUGGAAACGCUCCAAGGGUGUUGGCUAAGCAGAAGCUAAUUAAUUGCUGGUGCUUGGCUUUGCCCAGCACAGGCUGGGGUAGGAGCCUCUCCUCCCCGUCCUGCCCCGUUCCCUGCUGGGGCUGCAGCUGCUUCUGCCUCACAGCUCACUCCCAUUCUUCACCGCCACAACCUGAGCCCCCAUGUUUGUGCUCAGCCUGGUCUCCAGGCAGGACUGAAAAGCCCGAUUUAACAAGAAAAAGCUGUUCCAAAUAUAAUUCCUUCAUACAUGCAUGGCUAUGGUGUGCAUCCCUUGUGGGAAUUUUGCUAAAGCAGCCUCUUUCUGCUCUCUCCAGAUGAGCAGAGCUCGGAUCUGUUCUUCUCACACCUUCCUGCCUGAGGUUAUGCGUAUGGAGGACAGCUGGGAGCAGUCCCCAUCACCAGCCCUGUGCCCGCAUUCUGCUUCAGGAGCAGCAGGAGGAGCCCUCCUGGUAUGGAGGUGCUUGGACCAGGCUUUCCCACCAGCCCCAGCAGGGUCCCACCUUCAUAAACCUAGAUGGGGGGGGGGGCUGUUGUCUGGGACCCCCUUUGCUCCUGGAGCCUAUUCUGUAUCCAACCCGCUCACUGUUUGUCCUUGGACCUUGCUCAAGAGGCUGCGCGCUCCCUCGGAUGCACCCGGAAGGGAUGUUGGGAGAAGAACGGGAAUAAUCACCACGGAGCCAAGGUAAAAACACAAUAAUCAAAGACCAGUCCUAAAAACUCUGCUUUAAUCUUUGUGCUUCCAGACCCAGCCUCCCUUUCAUCUAGGACUCUGCUGUUCUCUUGUUACUCCGCGCUCAGAGAAACCACAGGGCUGGAAGAGGGGAAGAAAAAAGACGAGAUUAAACUAAUGAGCAGGUAA